This 394-nucleotide ribosomal RNA is filed under the name uncultured bacterium. Its description in RNAcentral is "bacterial SSU rRNA". It matches the Rfam family "Bacterial small subunit ribosomal RNA", at positions 30 to 421 of the family's 1533-position model. The record is from RNAcentral.
AUUGAACGCUGGCGGCAUGCCUUACACAUGCAAGUCGAACGGCAGCGGACCUUCGGGUGCCGGCGAGUGGCGAACGGGUGAGUAAUAUAUCGGGAACGUACCUUUCAGUGGGGGAGUAACGUAGCGAAAGUUAACGCUAAUACCGCAUAUUCUGUGAGCAGGAAAGCNGGGGAGUCGCAAGACCUUGCGCUGAUUGAGCGGCCGAUAUCAGAUUAGCUAGUUGGUGAGGUAAAGGCUCACCAAGGCGACGAUCUGUAGCGGGUCUGAGAGGAUGAUCCGCCACACUGGAACUGAGACACGGUCCAGACUCCUACGGGAGGCAGCAGUGGGGAAUUUUGGACAAUGGGCGCAAGCCUGAUCCAGCCAUGCCGCGUGAGUGAAGAAGGGCCUUCGG